UACGAGGGGGGCUAGCGUUGCUCGGAAUCACUGGGCGUAAAGCGCACGUAGGCGGAUUGUUAAGUCGGGGGUGAAAUCCUGGAGCUCAACUCCAGAACUGCCUUCGAUACUGGCGAUCUUGAGUCCGGGAGAGGUGAGUGGAACUCCGAGUGUAGAGGUGAAAUUCGUAGAUAUUCGGAAGAACACCAGUGGCGAAGGCGGCUCACUGGCCCGGUACUGACGCUGAGGUGCGAAAGCGUGGGGAGCAAACAGG
This 253-nucleotide ribosomal RNA is filed under the name uncultured bacterium. RNAcentral describes it as "partial 16S ribosomal RNA". It matches the Rfam family "Bacterial small subunit ribosomal RNA", at positions 524 to 776 of the family's 1533-position model. The record is from RNAcentral.